RNAcentral lists this ribosomal RNA (491 nucleotides) under uncultured bacterium. RNAcentral's name for it is "partial 16S ribosomal RNA". It matches the Rfam family "Bacterial small subunit ribosomal RNA", at positions 28 to 507 of the family's 1533-position model. The record is from RNAcentral.
GAUGAACGCUGGCUACAGGCUUAACACAUGCAAGUCGAGGGGAAACGACGGGGAAGCUUGCUUCCCCGGGCGUCGACCGGCGCACGGGUGAGUAACGCGUAUCCAACCUGCCUCUGACUGAGGGAUAACCCGUCGAAAGUCGGCCUAAUACCUCAUGGCAUCGUCUGCGGGCAUCCAACGACGAUUAAAGAUUUCAUCGGUCAGAGAUGGGGAUGCGUCUGAUUAGCUUGUUGGCGGGGUAACGGCCCACCAAGGCGACGAUCAGUAGGGGUUCUGAGAGGAAGGUCCCCCACAUUGGAACUGAGACACGGUCCAAACUCCUACGGGAGGCAGCAGUGAGGAAUAUUGGCCAAUGGGCGAGAGCCUGAACCAGCCAAGUAGCGUGCAGGAUGACGGCCCUAUGGGUUGUAAACUGCUUUUAUGCGGGGAUAAAGUGAGGGACGUGUCCUUCAUUGCAGGUACCGCAUGAAUAAGGACCGGCUAAUUCCGUG